This 254-nucleotide ribosomal RNA is filed under the name uncultured bacterium. RNAcentral describes it as "partial 16S ribosomal RNA". It matches the Rfam family "Bacterial small subunit ribosomal RNA", at positions 524 to 776 of the family's 1533-position model. The record is from RNAcentral.
UACGAAGGGGGCUAGCGUUGUUCGGAAUCACUGGGCGUAAAGGGCGCGUAGGCGGCUGUUCCAAGUCGGGGGUGAAAGCCUGUGGCUCAACCACAGAAUGGCCUUCGAUACUGGUUGGCUCGAGACCGGAAGAGGUGAGUGGAACUGCGAGUGUAGAGGUGAAAUUCGUAGAUAUUCGCAAGAACACCAGUGGCGAAGGCGGCUAACUGGUCCAUAACUGACGCUGAGGUGCGAAAGCGUGGGGAGCAAACAGG